Molecule: transfer RNA, 84 nt
Filed under: Clostridiales bacterium
Lineage: Bacteria; Bacillati; Bacillota; Clostridia; Eubacteriales
Also listed under: 1 other name
Description: tRNA-Leu
Rfam family: tRNA
About the family: Transfer RNA (tRNA) molecules are approximately 80 nucleotides in length.
Source: RNAcentral
GCGGAUGUGGCGGAAUUGGUAUACGCGCUGGUCUUAGGAACCAGUGCCAACGGCGUGGGGGUUCGAGUCCCUUCAUCCGCACCA